UUUUUUUUUAUUUUUGCUUUUUAGGGCAGCACCCACAGGAUCCAAUCAGAGCUGCAGCCACUGGCCUAUGCCACAGUAAUGCUAGAUCUGAGCUGUGUCAGUGACCUACACCACAGCAAUGCUGGAUUCUUAACCCACUGAGCAAGGACAGGGAUCAAACCCGCAUCCUCAGGGAUCCUAGUCAGGUUUGUUAAUCGCUGAACCAUAAUGGGAAUUCCUCUACCACCUAUUUUAAAUGCUUCUGGCAGAGCAGUGCUUCUCAAACGUGAGCAUACAUCAGAAUCACUGAAAGGCUUUAGACUCCCCCCCACCUCCCCAACUCCUCCCAAUUGCCAGACACCACCACCUGUAUUGAUUGAUUCAGUAGUUUUCAGCUGGGAUCUGGAAAUUUGGAUUGCUGGAAGUCUCCAAGCAAUGCUGCUGCUGGUCCAGAGAAAUCACUGCUGAAGCAGAGGCCGUUGGUAUCCUACCCAGAUUUCCUUUACCAGCUACUGUGAAUGGUGACUGACUGCAAUUGAUAGCAGUUCUCUUUUCUGGGGUGGUUUUGUUUUGGGUCUGUUUGUGUUCUGAAAGGAUUUUCCAGCCAAAGGAAAUCACCUUUCUGGGAAGCUGUAGGAAUACCACCCAUCUCACUCUGUCACUCCAUCCCACCACACACGCACACACACCCCCAUGGCAAUAACCACUUGAGAUGCCUACAAGAAGGCAGCUGCUUUGCUUUUUAUGUUUUAUUUGUGCAGCAAUUCAGGCUACACUCUGGUUGAGCUCACUCUCCUGCUUAGCUCAUCUUCCCUUGUGUCAUUCUGCAUCCCUCACUUCCCUGCCCCUGAGAGCAUGUCCUCAGUAAGUCACCUGAACCAAAAUUCUCAUUUCAGCCUCCAGACCUAUGUCAUUUCCCUUUUUGGUCAUAUGGCUGCUUGGCUUAAUACACUGAUGACCAGCUGGCUCCUUGGACACCACAAUUAGAAUAAAUAUCUUUAAUUACAAAGUGAGUACAAUGUCCCUUGUAGCCCUUGAUACAUAAAAUGUGGCUGGCCAUAAUUUCUCAAGUCUCUCAUCCACUCUCACCAAAACAUGUUUCUUAGAUUCCUUCAAAUCUGAACUCGAAGUCUUAUUUCCUCAAGAAGAGUCAUUUUUGUCUAACUUCUCUGUUUCAGGUCUUCAUAAUCCCUGAUACUCCAACAGCAGAGCACUCGUGCUUUUCAGUGAAUUUUAAUAUUUAAUUUAAUAUCUUUCCCCUGUUAGAUUGUGAGCUCCUGCAAAGAAAUCACUUCAACACCUGGUAUAGGAAGGCCAAAAUACUUCUUUGUUGAGUGAAUAAAUACCUAAUGAAAAUGGCUAUUGUUGAAAGAGUGGGAGAUUUCAAAGCUCUUGCCAUAAAGGUCAGACAACACCCUCUUGUGAGUGGCGAAGACAGUCAACGGGGAAAAAAUGUACGUGUACUCUCAACAUUCAGACUACGUAGAAGAGUUUGUUCAUUGGUCAAGUGGUCAACAGCGAGAGGAGAAGUAGGAUGUUUUGGAAUUCAGUAUCUAUCUACCCGGAAUGCUAAUUUGGAACCUUGUGUUGAUGAUUUGUGUUUCUAAGUCACAGCCGGAAAUGAAUACCACCACACUGACUUCAUACCACAGACUGUGUGCCUUGUACCUGAUGAAACUAGAAUGCAUUCACCUUUGAGUUUAUGAUAUAAGCAUGGGGAUGUCUUUUGGUGCAAGUUUCCCUUAUCUAAUGCUAUAAUGGGCAGUUUUUAAAUAAUUCCUUACUUGCCAGAUAAUCAAUGACUCGCUUAAAAGAAUGCAUAUUAUAAUUCUCUCUAUGCUCUUCUAGAACAGAAGCGUCAAAUCGUAACAUUACCACAAUAAAUCUUAACACAGGUCUCCUGUAAAAUCUAUUUUGGACUAGAGUAUGAGAAAGAUGGAAAGGCUAGGAACUCUAAUGAAUAAUUGCUGGAAAGCUAACUAAGUGAAGAAAAUGCAAACCAAAGACAUUAAAAAUCAAUUUAGAAACAAAUAGCAUUUUGUCAGAUGUAAGAAUUAUUCAUUAGGGGCUGGAAGUAUAUCCCAUCACCAAGACAACAUAGAAAAUGAGGCUUAACAAAAAUAAUUAACAAUUAGUCUAGUAAUUUACUUUUCUUUCUAUUGUAUGUUCAAAUAAUCUAACUUAAAUACAUACUCAUACACACAAAGACACAAAUACCAAGCAGACUUUCUCCCUGGGAAUAAAUCAAGUCACCCCCAGUAGUGCUAAAAUUCAAAGUGCCAUGCUGGAGAGCAUUAAGGAAUUUACUGAAAUGGAUGCGAACUGCCUCCUCUGAGUCAUCAGGUUUUAAAUAGAAAUGAGAUAGUAAAUUUCUGCCCGCAUCACACUGUGUGUCUUCUCUGAUUCACUACUCUCAUUCAUCUUGAUGCUCUCUAAUUUGUAAAGAUGCAGGCGACGUAUAAAUAUUCAUGGCAGCUCUGGAAAUAGACUGCACAGCGCUUGGUCUUCCGUUAGAAAUGGGCAGAACGUCAAAGAGGGCUGGAGAUAUGUCUCCAAAAUGAUGCACUUGGCUUGUCACCGGAUGAGAAAAAAAAAGAGUGGCAACAUUGUGUCAGAGAAGAAUUUCACAGCUGGAUCCAUGAGCAGGCUCCCUGACUGUGGCUUAGGCCAGCGGUUCUCAAAUCUGCUACACAGCUGGGUCACCUAGGAGAGGAUUUCAAAUAACUCAUAUCUAUGUCCUGAGCACAAAGAUCCUGAAGUAAUCCAUCUUGGAUAAAACCUGGGCAUUGCUAUUAAAAAAAGAAUUCUAAGGAUUCUCAUAUAUUCAACCUGGGUCAAGAAUUGGUUCAAACAAUGGCAAGACACAAGACAGACUAAGUCUUUAGUCUCUGAACAUCACAUUCAGGCCAAAAAUACAAAAAUGUGCAAUCAACAUAGUAUCUGUGUUUCCAAAAAAAAUAUAUCCAGGGUACAGUAGAGCCCCCAAAAGGGACUGAGUGACUAGGUUAUCCUAUUUUAUAAACAUGGAGUGGGGUUCUCCAAAGUCUUCUCAGAGACCCUAACAAAUGUUGGUUUUACAAGAGGAUGGAGAGGAGGGAGAAUGUUAAUGCAAAAGGAAAUUUCCAGCCAAGGGUUCAUCAUAUUCAAAAAGACAUAUGCACCUGAAAGAGGCUGGGCAGUUUGUAAAAUACAUGUGGAUCAGCCUGGCAGAACCAUGGGGUACUGCCCCCUCCCUCUCUUGGCAAUUUUGUAAAAUGUCCCAUAUAGCUGCCGAGCUGCGGUUUUAAGUGUGCCAUGAAAAGUAGAAAAUUAGAGUUAUUCUGAUGUGCAAGGGUGAUUAAUUUUCCAUCUGGCAUCAAAUGGCUAUAAAGAGCGAAGGCAGUCAGUUCAAAGGAUGUGUACUCAAGUUCACCACCAAGGUAUCAGAGGAGAAAGAAGGAAAUCAUGCUGAGCUUACAAGACCCCUUUCAAACAUCAGAACUGCACUGGUGAUUUAAAAUCUCUUGUCACUUCACUGUAGUACCUGCACCCAUGAAUUUCAGUGGGAGAAGGACAAAUGUCUGAAUCCCUACCAACAUAUGCUCAUUCCUUCAGAAACCAAAAUCUUAAUGGCAUACCCUAAUGGGUGUAGGAAAGCAUUAGACUGUUUGUCCAGGGGUGGGGAUCCAUUUGCCUAGGUCUUGGUUCCUGACUUCUCCUUACAUUUAUCAGUAGGCACUUGGGUGCCCAUGAAAUACAAGUGGACUCCACAAGGGCAGGUAUAAGCCACUUGCUGCAGGAAACCACCCACUGCAGGAAGCCCCUCCCUUGUAACUUUAGCAGAGCUAUAUUGUAACUAACUUCUAAAUCAGGCACCCCCAAGCUCUACUCAUCUCCAGCCUAAGCUCACCUUUCAGAUCUUUUCAUCACAUAAUACCUUGCCUCAUUUGUUGGUCUCUCCACAGAUCAAAGUAAAAGUGAAGAGUAAGUGAUGGAUGGAUGACCACAUCUCUUCCCUAGCUUCUCCAUCAGUAAUCUCCCAAACUGUGUGACUAAACCUUAUGAACAAGACAAGGUCUAGAGGAAGAUCAUGAGGAGACAAGCCUGCACACUGGUGGUGGUAGUGAUGGGGGGUGUCGAGGGCUCUGACCCCCAUCUCCAUGAUUAACUGGGAUCACUUCCCUGUUUUCCUUUAAAAGAUUUCAAGGCUGAGCAGCAUUCCCAGAGGUGGCUUGGGGGGGGACGUUGAGUCCACCACCUCCCCAGAUCGCUGGCACUCUGAUUAAAGGCAUGUUACUUUCUAUGGACAUUUGUGAGUAUGUAACUGAUUUUAUAAGUGGGAAGCAGCAGGACCCCAAUCAACAACACGGGAAGCUGCAAACCUGGGCCUUUGACCUCCACAGAAUCCAAGUAGACACAGCUCAGCCCUUUUGAACACUGACAACCACCACCCAGCUAAACAGCACUAGGACUGUCCUUUUAUUUUCCCUGGGUUUUAAAUGCAGUAUGAACUGUAUAAUGAUCUUUUAUAUGUCCAUUUCUAAGUUUAUUGAAAUAUAGUUAAUUUACAAGGUUGUGGUACCUUCUGCUGUACAGCCAAGUGACCCAGUCAUACAUAUGCACAUAUAUAUAUCUCAAUUAAAAACGGGGGGGCAAAGUGACUGCUAGCCACAUCGCCAUCUAGUGGCACAUCCCUCAGUUGCCACCUGGAAAACCACUCAGAACUUACGCCAAAGCUAACAGGAAGGAAAAUGUAUGGCAUGGAUAAAAAAAAUCCAGAACACUAUCAAAUUCACUAUUUUUAAAAAAUUGUUGGCCUGCUCUCCAGUGGUCUAUCAUCCUCUGAUUCAAUAAUGAUAUGGCAUUCUGAGUCAACAAUCAGAAAGUUUAUGGAGUUCCCGUUGUGGCUCAGUGCUAACCAACCCAAGUAGUAUCCGUGAGGAUGCAGGUUCAAUCCCUGGUCACCCUCAGUGAGCUGUGGUGGAGGUCACAGAUGUGACUUGGAUCUUGCAUUGCUGUGGCUGCGGUGUAGGCCGGCAGCUACAGUUCCAAUUCAAUCCCUAGCCUGGGAACUUCCAUAUGCCACACAUACAGCC
RNAcentral lists this long non-coding RNA (5054 nucleotides) under Sus scrofa (pig). Its description in RNAcentral is "lncRNA (ENSSSCG00000056242.1)". Lineage: Eukaryota; Metazoa; Chordata; Mammalia; Artiodactyla; Suidae. The record is from RNAcentral.